UGCUCAUUGACUGCAGCACUAUACUCUGGA
Molecule: non-coding RNA, 30 nt
Filed under: Mus musculus (house mouse)
Lineage: Eukaryota; Metazoa; Chordata; Mammalia; Rodentia; Muridae
Source: RNAcentral